RNAcentral lists this ribosomal RNA (253 nucleotides) under uncultured bacterium. RNAcentral's name for it is "partial 16S ribosomal RNA". It matches the Rfam family "Bacterial small subunit ribosomal RNA", at positions 524 to 776 of the family's 1533-position model. The record is from RNAcentral.
UACGUAGGGCGCGAGCGUUAAUCGGAAUUACUGGGCGUAAAGCGUGCGCAGGCGGUUUUUUAAGACAGAGGGUAAAUCCCCGGGCUUAAACUGGGAACUGCCCUUGUGACUGCAUGACUUGAGUACCGCAGAGGGGGAUGGAAUUCCGGGUGUAGAUGUGGAAUGCGUAGAUAUGCGGGGGAACACCGAUGGCGAAGGCAAUCCCCUGGGCCUGUACUGACGCUCAUGAACGAAAGCGUGGGGAGCAAACAGG